RNAcentral lists this ribosomal RNA (560 nucleotides) under Megapleonum shenzhen. RNAcentral describes it as "Megapleonum sp. 1 CH-2021a partial large subunit ribosomal RNA". It matches the Rfam family "Bacterial large subunit ribosomal RNA", at positions 1802 to 2625 of the family's 2925-position model. Lineage: Eukaryota; Metazoa; Arthropoda; Malacostraca; Decapoda; Potamidae. The record is from RNAcentral.
GUUUAGCAAAAACAUGUUUAUUUGAAGCUAUAAAUAAUUUGACCUGCCCCCUGAUAAAUAUAUUAAAGGGCCGCAGUAUUAUAACUGUGCAAAGGUAGCAUAAUCAUUAGGUUUUUAAUUAAGAUCUUGUAUGAAUGGUUGGACAAGAGAAAAACUCUCUUUAUAUUAAUUUUGAAUUUAACUUUUAAGUGAAAAGGCUUAAAUAUUCUAGAGGGACGAUAAGACCCUAUAAAACUUUUACAUUAUAGUUAUAUUUUGAUAAAUUUAUAUAAUAAAAAUUUAGUUUAAUUAUUUGUUAUGUUGGGGAGACAUAAGUAAAAUAUUAUUUUAACUGCUUGGUAAUAAAACAAUUAUUAGUGAAUAAAUAAAAGAUCCUUUUUAGAGAUUAAUAGAUUAAGUUACUUUAGGGAUAACAGCGUAAUUUCUUUUGAGAGUUCUUAUCGAAAAAGAAGAUUGCGACCUCGAUGUUGAAUUAAAAAAUCUUUAUAAUGAAGAAAUUAUAUUAGAAGGUCUGUUCGACCUUUAAAUUUUUACAUGAUUUGAGUUCAAACCGGUGUAAG